This is a non-coding RNA of Heterocephalus glaber (naked mole-rat), 3333 nucleotides long. The record is from RefSeq and is a predicted model, not a curated record. Lineage: Eukaryota; Metazoa; Chordata; Mammalia; Rodentia; Bathyergidae.
AUCUCUGAAUGGCACUGUCAGUGGGUUCUGUCUCCCUCUUACUCUGAAUUCAGGGGAAAAUUCACCCUUGGUUCACACAGGGCUGCUGUCUUAGGAUCCUGAGUAUCAGAGUCAUGGGAACCUGCACUGGAUUCUCAGGAAGUCCUAUGUCAUCAGCAGCCACCCUUGUCUGCCAUACAAAUUAGUACUCACCUUUGAGGAUGGCUCCACAUAGUCUCCAAAGCAAUAGCUGUCUGGUUCCUUGGUGGAGGUUGAAUGGACCACACUGGACGAGGACUCAUAGGACUAGUCAGCCCUUCCCUUGGUGCCUCUGUUUUGCAUGUCUCCUCCUCACACAACCCCCAGGCCAUCCCUAUAAAGAUCUGAUGCCUUGUGCACUACCCAGGCUUUGAACACUCUCUGCUAGCAUGUUCCCAGUGGCUCAGGUUUGGCUUCUUUGGAGCCUGGCUUUCUGGAGAGCAGCAGUGAGUGGGGAUAUCAUCCUGACCCAGACACCAGCCUCCUUGUCUGCAUCUCCGGGGGAGACAGUCUCUAUCUCCUGUCAAGCCAGUGCUGAUGUAAACAGAGAGAUGUCUUGGAUCCGGAUAAAACUUGGCCAAAGACUUGAACCCCUUAUAUCACACAUCACCACUUUGGCCUCGGGUGUCCCAGCCAGAGUGAAUAUGUCUACUUGGAAGAAACAGUUGAUAUCAGACAGACCUGGGCUCAAAUACCAGCCCAAGCACUCACUGACAUGUGAUCUUGGCCAGACUACCUAUGCUAUGAAAGCUUCUCUCCUCUGUGAAAGAGAAGAGUCCCCUGUGCUCUGCUUUACGCAGCUUUGAAUAUCUUAGAAUGAAGAGGCUGUGUAAAGAAUGACUAGCCAGAUGUCAUUAUAAACUAAAAAUCGCCAAUAAUUAUUGUACAAUGAAUGGUUCCUCACUAUAUGCAACUGAGCUCUUGCUGAAUAGGCCAGAACUUCUUCUUACUAAGCAUUUACUAAAAUGGGCUAGGAGUUGUAAAUAUGUAUCUCUUUUAAUUCAGAACAGCUCUUAUGGACCUGAGAGCCAUUUCCAAGAGUGAAAUGUUAAAAAAAUGAGAUCCCUAUCUCCAAGACUCCAGGAGAGGACAGAGUCUUCUGAGUUUGGCAAUGAGCAGCCACAAACAUGGCUGGCCCCAUGUCAUGUCCACUAACUGAUCCCUGUGCUUCUCACUCCUUUGACUCUAUGGAACCCUCAUAUCCACCCUCCCUCCUGCUCUAAACUAUUAUGUGAUGGAGCGGGGACCAACAGUGUUUUCCAGGUUCUUAUUGUCCAGUUCAGUGAAUUGGUCAGGGCAAUUGGUGAAUAUGAAAGAUUACUGUUAUUUUAUGGAAGAAAUAAGAAAAGUGAAGAGAAAAAGGAAAGAAGCUCCAAAGAAGUGCUCAAGGAGAUAAGGGUGCUUUGAGGGAAAAUCAAAGAUAUAUCCUGAAAGCAGAAUGGACCUCUGCAAGGACAAAAGGACAGUGGCCCUGAAGUCAGUUGCUGCUGUCUUCUUUUAUAGUGGAUCCAGGUGGUCCCACUUGAUCUUAUUCUGGAAGAUUGAUAUCAGGUGCCAGGUUUGGCAGGUUCUCAGAUCAGAAGAUUGGUACUGGUGCAGGGCUCAGCUUGAUCCUGUCAGGCUUGGGUGCUGCUGUUCUGCACCUGUGGUUGAUGAGUCUCCUCAGCUGGUAGGUCGUGCCCAGCUGCUCUAGCCAUGUCCUAGCCUCCUACUGCAAAACCACCCAGAUUGGAAUGGAUCUAACUCCUUCUGUACUUCUUGGCAUUUAAAAAAUAAUUUUAUUCCUAACUGUCAUGUAUGACGUUUUACAGAAUGUGUCCUGGGAGUUGUCUUGAAUUCUGACCCAAGAAAGACUCAAGUUGGAGAGAGCUAAAAACCUCAAAUCUGCAGAAGGCUGAGGACGGAACUACAUAGAACACAGUCAAGAGUGAGGGUGCUGACCAUGAACUUACAACAGAGGACAGAAAAGAGUGAAAACCUUGAAAGAUACAACUGGAUGCAGUCAAGACCCAAGACAUUAGCAGACCGGCCAACUCUCCAAAUCCUUUCAAAUCCUUCUUCACUGGCCCGGCUGAUUAGGGACCCAAAUUUGAGGCCUCUUGUCAAUAAACGUCCAAUAGAGUUCUUUCUUUUUGCAAAAAAGCUGGUGCCAUAGUAUUGGUUACUGUGUGUCAGGUUGCUCACUAUCACACAUUGUGGGGUUGUCUGUACAUUUUUUCCACUAUGAAGCACUCCAUCAACCCAUUUAUUUGUAGUAUUAGGAAGAUGAACAAGUAUAUGUGCUGCCAAAGCAAGCACAAACAAGGAGACUGCAAAUGCCCAUUGCACCUUUAUUCUGGACUUCUCUUGAGCCCCAUUUGUGCUAGCUUUCUAUGCUGUUGUGAAAAAUUACCAAAAAUAACAGAAAUUUAUUCUGCAGCAGUUUGGGGGUAGAGAAGUUUGGAAUAAGCUUCAGUGACCUGAAGAUCAGGGUGCUGGCAGGGAGGAUGGGGUGCAGAAGUUUUAUGGGAGACUCUGCUCCUUGUCUUUCCCAGGUUCUGGUGGCUGCUCUCUCCUUGGCAGUGGCCGAAUCACACUAGCCUCUUUUCUGUGUUCACAUGGCUUUUCCUUCCCCCAUCAUAAGGAUCACAUUCAGAUCACUUGAGAUCACAUUUAGAACCUCCCCUUCUAAGUAUCCUUAAUUUACAUCUGCAAUCCCGCAUAAAGGUAAUUCUCACCCUCCACAGAAUAGGACCUGGUAUUAUGGUGGCCAUACUUGGUUUACUAAACAUUAAAGUAUCAACUCUCCCAGUGUACACACAUACCAUAAUCUUUCUGCCUCUCUCUUCCUUUCUUCUCUUUAUCUCCCUUCACCAUCAUAAAUCACUUUGCUUCUUUAAAUGUAUUCAGCUUCCCAGAGAGGCUCACACAGGGAGAAGUUGCUUGGGUUUUUCUAAAGACCUGCUCUGUCCCCAAUUAUGCACAAGGAAGGAUACAGAAGGCCUUUGUUCAUCUGGGGAGAAGCUGCCUCCACAGAGAGUCUGGAGCUGUUUGUCUCUGAAUCAGAUUGUUUUCAGGGACCCUUGACCUUCCACCUUCUUGGAGCAUAUGGGUGGCACUGGCUCAAGAGGAUCCAUUUCCGCCUCUCCUUUCCUCUCACUGUGGGCUGAUUGUAGUGAUGAAUUUAUUAAAGUAUAGAAAUGAGUUUAAUUUUGGUUGUAUUUUUCUUAGUUAAGUUCAUGAGGCAGUUUGAAAUGUUUUGCAAAAUAUUGUAUGAGAAUCAAUUUUUUAGUACUGACUUGACUCAGUAAAAGAAAGAAAACUCUAAUUUAGGAA